GGAGAUCGUGUAGAUGCAGUCCUGCCAAUCCGUACGAACUCGUGAAAGAAAAAAGGUUUUGGCGAAGUCGCCGACUUGAAAGUAAAGUAUGAGGAAAGAGUAGAUUUGUUGUAUUGAUUGAUGUGUUGUUUUACAUGCCUCUUGAGGCAGCUAUUUAUACCUUGUUACAACUGAUUUCCUAACCGACUAGAAUCUAUCUCUAAUUUUAAACGACAACGAAUAUUUACAAACACAACUCGUAUCCGAGUUGGUUAUUAUUUUCCCACUGGCCAAACUCCAUCUUCAUCUAAUCUUCAUCUUGGCCCACCUUAGGCCCAUACUGGCCAAACCAUCCCAACUCCCAAUCAACCAGCCUUUAUCAACUCCCUCUACCAGUCG
RNAcentral lists this long non-coding RNA (378 nucleotides) under Setaria viridis. Its description in RNAcentral is "long non-coding RNA (SVIR_LNC007064)". Lineage: Eukaryota; Viridiplantae; Streptophyta; Magnoliopsida; Poales; Poaceae. The record is from RNAcentral.